GCAGCCGGGACAUGUUGGUCGGAGUGGGCAGGUUGGGCCGAAGGUCCUGUUUCCACACUGUAUCACUCUAUGUUUAUAACACAAAGUGCUGGAGUAACUCAGCGGGUCAGGCAGCAUCCGUGGAGAACAUGGAUAGGUGACAUUUCGGGUCGGGACCCUUCUUCAGACUGACACUAUGUUAACAGAUGAGGGGGUGAUCGGUAGAUGAGUGAAGUAAGUGACAGAGGCGAGGGAAAAUAAUGAGAUAAAAGGAUGUGAGAUAA
Long non-coding RNA from Leucoraja erinaceus (little skate), 263 nucleotides. RefSeq lists it as uncharacterized. The transcript has 2 exons. The record is from RefSeq and is a predicted model, not a curated record. Lineage: Eukaryota; Metazoa; Chordata; Chondrichthyes; Rajiformes; Rajidae.